GACGAACGCUGGCGGCGUGCUUAACACAUGCAAGUCGAACGGAAAGGCCCUGCUUGCAGGGUACUCGAGUGGCGAACGGGUGAGUAACACGUGGGUGAUCUGCCCUGCACUUCGGGAUAAGCCUGGGAAACUGGGUCUAAUACCGGAUAGGAGCCAUUUUUAGUGUGAUGGUUGGAAAGUUUUUUCGGUGUAGGAUGAGCUCGCGGCCUAUCAGCUUGUUGGUGGGGUAAUGGCCUACCAAGGCGGCGACGGGUAGCCGGCCUGAGAGGGUGGACGGCCACAUUGGGACUGAGAGACGGCCCAGACUCCUACGGGAGGCAGCAGUGGGGUAUAUUGCACAAUGGGCGCAAGCCUGAUGCAGCGACGCCGCGUGGGGGAUGACGGCCUUCGGGUUGUAAACUCCUUUCGCUAGGGACGAAGCUUUUGUGACGGUACCUAGAUAAGAAGCACCGGCUAACUACGUG
This 464-nucleotide ribosomal RNA is filed under the name uncultured bacterium. RNAcentral's name for it is "partial 16S ribosomal RNA". It matches the Rfam family "Bacterial small subunit ribosomal RNA", at positions 28 to 507 of the family's 1533-position model. The record is from RNAcentral.